GGGAUAAAAUUAAUAAUAAAUUAAUAAUAAAAUAAAUAUUAAAGUUAAAAAUAUAUAAUGGGGGUUAAAGUAUUUUUAAUAGAAAAAAUUUAAAAUUUUAUAGGGAAUUAGUAUUGUAAAAGAAGUUUGAAAUAAAUGAAAAUAAAUUAAUUAAAAAGAAAAUUUAAUUUAUUGUAUCUUGGGUAUCAGAGUUUAUUAAAUAUAUUUUUUCAAAAAAAAAUUUCGAAUUUAAAAGAGUUAAUUAAUUAUAAAAGUUAAUAUAGCAUAAUUAUUUUAAAUAAUUAAUUAGAAAUGAAAUGUUAAUCGUUUUUAAAAAUAUCUAGUUAUUUUAGAAAAAAAUUUAAUUUUAAAUUUAAAUAAUUUUAUAAUUUAUUAAAUAAUUAUAAAAAUUUAAAAUUUAAUAUUUUAAGGGAUAAGCUUUAAAUUAAAAAUUUAUAAAAAAAAUAAAGAAAAAAUUAAAAUUUUUAAAAUUUAUAUUGUUUAAAGAUUAUAAUUUAUUAUAAAAAAUUUUAAUUAAAAUAUAAAAUUUAAUAAAAUAAAUUUAAAUUUUUAUAAGAUAAUAAUUUGUAAUGAGAUAGAAUCAGAAAUAAUGAUAAAAUUAGUAUAAUAUAGUAUAAUACGAAAAAAAAGUUAAAUAGUAAUUUAAAGUUAUUUAAAAGGAAUUCGGCAAAUAAUUAUAUUCACUUGUUUAUCAAAAACAUGUCUUUUUGUGUAUUAAUUUAAAGUCUAAUCUGCCCACUGAUAAAUAUUAAAGGGCUGCAGUAUAUUGACUGUACAAAGGUAGCAUAAUCAAUAGUUUUUUAAUUGGAAACUUGUAUGAAAGAUUUGAUGAAAUAUAAACUGUCUCUUAAGUAUUAUUAAAAUUUUAUUUUUUAGUCAAAAAGCUAAAAUAUAUUUAAAAGACGAGAAGACCCUAUAGAGUUUUAUAUUUUUUUUUAUUUUAGGGGUUUAUAAAAUUAAUUUUUAAGAUAAAAAAAAAUAUUGUGUUGGGGUGACAGAAAAAUUAAAUAAACUUUUUUAAAUAUUUAACAUUAAUAAAUGAUUAAGUGAUCCAUUUAUUGUGAUUAUAAGAAAAAAUUACCUUAGGGAUAACAGCGUAAUAUUUUUUUUUAGUUCAAAUAAAAAAAAAAGUUUGCGACCUCGAUGUUGGAUUAAGAUAAAAUUUAAAUGCAAAAGUUUAAAAUUUUGAUCUGUUCGAUCAUUGAAAUCUUACAUGAUCUGAGUUCAAACCGGUGUGAGCCAGGUUGGUUUCUAUCUUUAAAAAAUAAAAAUAUUUUA
RNAcentral lists this ribosomal RNA (1278 nucleotides) under Coenonympha oedippus. RNAcentral describes it as "partial 16S ribosomal RNA". The stretch from base 636 to 1278 matches the Rfam family "Archaeal large subunit ribosomal RNA", at positions 1424 to 2735 of the family's 2987-position model. Lineage: Eukaryota; Metazoa; Arthropoda; Insecta; Lepidoptera; Nymphalidae. The record is from RNAcentral.